This 486-nucleotide ribosomal RNA is filed under the name uncultured bacterium. RNAcentral's name for it is "bacterial SSU rRNA". It matches the Rfam family "Bacterial small subunit ribosomal RNA", at positions 30 to 504 of the family's 1533-position model. The record is from RNAcentral.
CGAACGCUGGCGGCGCGUUUUAAGCAUGCAAGUCGAACGGUAUAUGGAAGCUUGCUUCCAUAGAGAGUGGCGAACGGGUGAGUAACACGUAGGUGAUCUGCCCUUGAGUUGGGGAUAGCCCAUGGAAACAUGGAGUAAUACCGAAUACGGUCCGGACCCUGUGGGGACCGGAAGAAAGGCGCUUCGGCGCCGCUUGAGGAUGAGCCUGCGGCUGAUUAGUUAGUUGGUGGGGUAAUGGCCUACCAAGGCGACGAUCAGUAGCCGGCCUGAGAGGGUGAGCGGCCACACUGGGACUGAGAUACGGCCCAGACUCCUACGGGAGGCAGCAGCUAAGAAUCUUCCGCAAUGGACGAAAGUCUGACGGAGCGACGCCGCGUGGGUGAUGAAGGCCGGAAGGUUGUAAAGCCCUUUUCUAUCUGAGGAAUAAGCUUACGAGGAAAUGCGUGAGUGAUGACGGUAGGGUAGGAAUAAGCCCCGGCCAAUUAC